Molecule: long non-coding RNA, 2239 nt
Organism: Felis catus (domestic cat)
Lineage: Eukaryota; Metazoa; Chordata; Mammalia; Carnivora; Felidae
Exons: 5
Source: RefSeq, a predicted model, not a curated record
ACUUUCCAGGUGACAUUUCUCUUCUUGGCCCAGAAUACAGAGUAUGGUGCUACUAACCAGAGCCCCUGGACUGAGGAAAGCAUUCUCCUGCACAGAGCCCAAGGAGACCAAGAGGGGCAACAGAGGAGGAACUGUACUUUGUGUCUUUGAAAGCGGGUCCUAUGCAGCGGUCCGACCGGCCACGGGAACUGGCUGAAGACCACUCACGUGCUCACGCUGUAUUCUGUGCUCGGAUCCACCUGUCAUGAUGGACACCUUACAGCAACAGAUAUGAAAUUGACCAGCAAGGGGCACAAUCGACAAUAAAGAGCCUAAAGAGAGAGUUCCUGGACCUGAGCUGGAAGCGGUGGUGCCCAGAAAGCACACGUGCCAAUUGGACAAUUAGACAAAGAGUAGAACUCCCAUCCAACUGGAGUAAUUCAUCAAGGAUUUUUGAUGGCAGCUCUGAGAGUUUCCGAAGUUACUGUAGAAAUCCUGUCGCUCCUUUUAAUAUGCCUGACUUCAUGGAAGGGGAGAAGAAGUGCCAGAGAGCAAACAGGAGGCAAGAGGAGGUGGUGAACCAACAGCGGAAAACAAGGGGAGGAAAGUACUUCACAUCUCUUCUGGAGAGAUCAUUUUAUUUUCAGUUCUCCCAGAAAUUAUAUCGGAACAAUUUUUUUUCCUGAAAUAAUAUAUACAGCUAUUGAUAGCCUAGUAUUCCCUGUUAGCUUCCACUCUUACCAGCAUAGGGAAGGCAAUCCCCUCAAUACUGACUGAGAGCCCCUGUGUUAGGUGCUGAGGUACAAAAUGAAACCAAGGAGUCCUGAGCACCCGGUGGCAGAACCGUGUAAAAUAUGGUUUCUCUGAACAUGACCCCUCUGGUCAGAGGUGGGUCGGCCAGGGCUUUGUCUGUUCAAAGCCAAGCCCAGCCACAUGGGAUAGAGGUCGGAUGUGCUGGGGCGGACCAGGGGCCAAGAUAGCCAGGGAUCUGGCUUUGAAUCACUCUGGUAUUCGAGCUUUUUUCCCUGAAGAAAAAUGAGAAAGUACUGGUCAUGUGGCUGUUGAGUAUUUUUCAAUAAGCAAGCCUUAUUUUUAUCAUGUUAUGAAAUGCUUGUCCCCGAGAGCUCUCUUUAGGUGCAUGGUAAGUGCUGCGACACCAAUCGGAUGCCCCCAUGCCAAGAGGCUGGCAUCUUGAUUUUUGUGGGCCCUAAGCACUUUUACCUCUGUCGACCUCUUCCCCUCAAAAUUAAAAAAAAAAACAGAUUAAAAGUUAUAUUUUCAAAUUUUAUUUUUUAAAUUAUAUCUUAUAACUGCAUUUGUGUAAAGAUGCAUAUUAUAUAUAAAUUUUACAUUAAUAUUAUAUAUAAAACAUUUUUCAUCCUAAAAGUGGAUAUUUUUGCCUCCUGAAUUGAAAAGAACUUGCAACAUUUCUGUGGGCCCCUAACGUCUCGUGGUCCUAGCGAUGACCUGCUAUGCCUCACGUGGAAGUUGGUCCCAGAUGCCACCCUAAGCCUCCCUGCCACAUUAACGCCUCCACUGGAGAUGGCAGUAGACGUAGAUGGCAUCGUUCUGAACUCACUGUGGCCUCGUGCCCCAACCAGCUGGCAGGUAGAGACGCCACAUUAGUUCUUCUUCCUACGCAUGUAUUCAGGUCAGUGUUGUUUCAUGUUUCUUGUAGCAGCUCAAGGCAUUUCACGUGUCUUUUCACUCUGCUCCCUGCUGUAUGUCCCGCAACGGCAUUCACAGAGACGGAUAGGAUGAGCUGUACAACAGAAUCAUUCAAGCGGUAGAACAAUUCUGAAACACAAGUGGGGAGGAAUUGCUUGCACUUCUCUCAUGGAUUAGCUGAAAAUCCAAUGCAAGUCGUCAGUGGUUAUUCAAUUCAUAACAAACACUACUGAUGGAAAGAACCAACGGAGAAUAAAAUCGACAAAGGCUAAAGCUGCACAUCGUGAGACUUACUAUUGCCAAGCGCGGACAGGAAAACUAAAAUCCUGGCAAAUUUUGGAUCUGCGAAAUUGGACACAGGAAAAUUGGAUUUCAUAAAAAUAAAAGAUACAGAACACAUUGCACAUUGUCAAAACUCUAUGAAAGAUGAUAAAUCAAAAGCAACCAAUGAACAAACCCUUGAGAAGGUGAAAAGGCAAAUGGAAAAUAAUUAAUCCUGAUUCAAGUAACUUUUCUAACGCGAAUGCACGAUAUAAAAGUAUCACUGCAUUGUAAAGAAAAAUUUUCAUAAAUUAAAGCGUGGGUAAUAGAA